ACAGGACAAUGACCUAUGAUUUGACAGACAGUGUGGCUGCGUGUGUCUGUCAUUCUGUAGGCCAAUAUUCUGU
Molecule: non-coding RNA, 73 nt
Organism: Rattus norvegicus (Norway rat)
Lineage: Eukaryota; Metazoa; Chordata; Mammalia; Rodentia; Muridae
Source: Rfam